RNAcentral lists this microRNA precursor (99 nucleotides) under Chinchilla lanigera (long-tailed chinchilla). RNAcentral's name for it is "miRNA (ENSCLAG00000021261.1)". Lineage: Eukaryota; Metazoa; Chordata; Mammalia; Rodentia; Chinchillidae. The record is from RNAcentral.
AUGUGGCUGGUUUUGGAAGCAGCUGGAAGGCCUGGCCAGGGGCUCUGGGCUACCUCAAAGGCCUCCUGCACUGCAGGGCCAGGGUUUCAGGGGUCAAGG